GACGAACGCUGGCGGCGUGCUUAACACAUGCAAGUCGAACGGUAAGGCUCCAGCUUGCUGGGGUACACGAGUGGCGAACGGGUGAGUAACACGUGGGUGACCUGCCCUGCACUUCGGGAUAAGCCUGGGAAACUGGGUCUAAUACCGGAUAGGACCGCACCGUGAGGGUGUGGUGGAAAGUUUUUUCGGUGUGGGAUGGGCCCGCGGCCUAUCAGCUUGUUGGUGGGGUAGUGGCCUACCAAGGCGGCGACGGGUAGCCGGCCUGAGAGGGUGGACGGCCACAUUGGGACUGAGACACGGCCCAGACUCCUACGGGAGGCAGCAGUGGGGAAUAUUGCACAAUGGGCGGAAGCCUGAUGCAGCGACGCCGCGUGGGGGAUGACGGCCUUCGGGUUGUAAACUCCUUUCACCAUCGACGAAGGGUUUCUGACGGUAGAUGGAGAAGAAGCACCGGCUAACUACGUGCCAGCAGCCGCGGUAAUACGUAGGGUGCGAGCGUUGUCCGGAAUUACUGGGCGUAAAGAGCUCGUAGGUGGUUUGUCGCGUCGUCUGUGAAAUUCCGGGGCUUAACUCCGGGCGUGCAGGCGAUACGGGCAUAACUUGAGUACUGUAGGGGAGACUGGAAUUCCUGGUGUAGCGGUGAAAUGCGCAGAUAUCAGGAGGAACACCGGUGGCGAAGGCGGGUCUCUGGGCAGUAACUGACGCUGAGGAGCGAAAGCAUGGGGAGCGAACAGGAUUAGAUACCCUGGUAGUCCAUGCCGUAAACGGUGGGCGCUAGGUGUGGGUUUCCUUCCACGGGAUCCGUGCCGUAGCUAACGCAUUAAGCGCCCCGCCUGGGGAGUACGGCCGCAAGGCUAAAACUCAAAGGAAUUGACGGGGGCCCGCACAAGCGGCGGAGCAUGUGGAUUAAUUCGAUGCAACGCGAAGAACCUUACCUGGGCUUGACAUAUACAGGAUCGCGCCAGAGAUGGUGUUUCCCUUGUGGCUUGUAUACAGGUGGUGCAUGGUUGUCGUCAGCUCGUGUCGUGGGAUGUUGGGUUAAGUCCCGCAACGAGCGCAACCCUUGUCUUAUGUUGCCAGCACGUUGUGGUGGGGACUCGUAAGAAACUGCCGGGGUUAACUCGGAGGAAGGUGGGGAUGACGUCAAAUCAUCAUGCCCCUUAUGUCCAGGGCUUCACACAUGCUACAAUGGUCGGUACAGUGGGUUGCCAGUCCGUGAGGGCGAGCUAAUCCCGCAAAGCCGGUCUCAGUUCGGAUCGGGGUCUGCAACUCGACCCCGUGAAGUCGGAGUCGCUAGUAAUCGCAGAUCAGCAACGCUGCGGUGAAUACGUUCCCGGGCCU
This 1341-nucleotide ribosomal RNA is filed under the name uncultured bacterium. RNAcentral describes it as "16S ribosomal RNA". It matches the Rfam family "Bacterial small subunit ribosomal RNA", at positions 28 to 1381 of the family's 1533-position model. The record is from RNAcentral.